This 692-nucleotide ribosomal RNA is filed under the name uncultured bacterium. RNAcentral's name for it is "bacterial SSU rRNA". It matches the Rfam family "Bacterial small subunit ribosomal RNA", at positions 56 to 749 of the family's 1533-position model. The record is from RNAcentral.
UGCAAGUCGAACGAGAUCCUCCCGCUGGGCAACCAAUGGGAACGAUCUAGUGGCGAACGGGUGAGUAACACGUGAGGAAUCUGCCCCGAAGACCGGAAUAGCCCAGGGAAACUUGGAUUAAUACCGGAUACCCUCGUAGGACCGCAUGGUCUUGCGAGGAAAUGGUCCGCCGCUUCGGGAUGACCUCGGGUCCUAUCAGCUUGUUGGUGAGGUAACGGCUCACCAAGGCAAUGACGGGUAGCUGGUCUGAGAGGACGAUCAGCCACACUGGGACUGAGACACGGCCCAGACUCCUACGGGAGGCAGCAGCAGGGAAUAUCGCGCAAUGGGCGAAAGCCUGACGCAGCGACGCCGCGUGCAGGAUGAAGGCCUUCGGGUCGUAAACCGCUUUCAGUGGGGAAGAAGCGAAAGUGACGGUACCCACAGAAGAAGCCCCGGCCAACUACGUGCCAGCAGCCGCGGUAAUACGUAGGGGGCGAGCGUUGUCCGGAUUUAUUGGGCGUAAAGGGCUCGUAGGCGGCUUGGCAAGUCGGUCGUGAAAUUCCGGGGCUCAACCCCGGAACGCCGAUCGAAACCGCCAUGGCUUGGGUCCGGUAGAGGAGUGUGGAAUUCCCGGUGUAGCGGUGAAAUGCGCAGAUAUCGGGAGGAACACCACUAGCGAAGGCAGCACUCUGGGCCGGUACCGACGCUGA